UACGUAGGGGGCGAGCGUUGUCCGGAUUCAUUGGGCGUAAAGCGCGCGUAGGCGGCUCCGCAAGUCGGCCGUGAAAUCUCCGGGCUCAACUCGGAGGGGUCGGGCGAGACUGCGAGGCUCGAGGUGGGCAGAGGGCAGUGGAAUUCCGGGUGUAGUGGUGGAAUGCGUAGAGAUCCGGAGGAACACCAGUGGCGAAGGCGGCUGCCUGGGCCUGGCCUGACGCUGAGGCGCGAAAGCGUGGGGAGCAAACAGG
Molecule: ribosomal RNA, 253 nt
Filed under: uncultured bacterium
Lineage: Bacteria
Description: partial 16S ribosomal RNA
Rfam family: Bacterial small subunit ribosomal RNA
Source: RNAcentral